UACGUAGGUGGCAAGCGUUGUCCGGAAUUAUUGGGCGUAAAGGGAGCGCAGGUGGGAAUAUCAGUCUGUCUUAAAAGUUCGGGGCUCAACCCCGUGAUGGGAUGGAAACUAUAUUUCUUGAGUGCAGGAGAGGAAAGUGGAAUUCCUAGUGUAGCGGUGAAAUGCGUAGAUAUUAGGAGGAACACCAGUGGCGAAGGCGACUUUCUGGACUGUAACUGACACUGAGGCUCGAAAGCCAGGGUAGUGAACGGG
This 252-nucleotide ribosomal RNA is filed under the name uncultured bacterium. RNAcentral's name for it is "partial 16S ribosomal RNA". It matches the Rfam family "Bacterial small subunit ribosomal RNA", at positions 524 to 776 of the family's 1533-position model. RNAcentral also lists the same sequence under 1 other name. The record is from RNAcentral.